This 30-nucleotide non-coding RNA is filed under the name Rattus norvegicus (Norway rat). Lineage: Eukaryota; Metazoa; Chordata; Mammalia; Rodentia; Muridae. The record is from RNAcentral.
UGACAACUCUCACGUGUAUGUGUGGAGUGU